GCCGUAUUCGCUCAGUGGCAGAGCACCGGUCUCCAAAACUGGAAGCGGGAGGUUCGAUGCCUCCAGACGGUGCCA
This 75-nucleotide transfer RNA is filed under the name Bacteriophage sp. RNAcentral's name for it is "tRNA-Trp". It matches the Rfam family "tRNA". From Rfam's summary of the family: Transfer RNA (tRNA) molecules are approximately 80 nucleotides in length. Their secondary structure includes four short double-helical elements and three loops (D, anti-codon, and T loops). The record is from RNAcentral.